ACAUGCUAUCGGAUNCGGGGGCCUACGUGGGAUUAGCUAGUUGUGGGGUAAUGGCUCACCAAGGCGACGAUCCCUAGCUGGUUUGAGAGGAUGAUCAGCCACACUGGAACUGAGACACGGUCCAGACUCCUACGGGAGGCAGCAGUGGGGGAAUAUUGGACAAUGGGCGAAAGCCUGAUCCAGCAAUGCCGCGUGAGUGAUGAAGGCCUUCGGGUUGUAAAGCUCUUUUACUCGGGACGAUAAUGACGGUACCGAGAGAAUAAGCCCCGGCUAACUCCGUG
RNAcentral lists this ribosomal RNA (281 nucleotides) under uncultured bacterium. RNAcentral's name for it is "partial 16S ribosomal RNA". It matches the Rfam family "Bacterial small subunit ribosomal RNA", at positions 207 to 507 of the family's 1533-position model. The record is from RNAcentral.